GGGCCGGUGGUCUAGCGGUAUGAUGCCGCCCUUACGAGGCGGAGGUCGUGGGUUCAACUCCCACCCGGCCCACCA
Molecule: transfer RNA, 75 nt
Filed under: Nitrososphaerota archaeon
Lineage: Archaea; Thermoproteati; Nitrososphaerota
Also listed under: 1 other name
Description: Thaumarchaeota archaeon tRNA-Val
Rfam family: tRNA
About the family: Transfer RNA (tRNA) molecules are approximately 80 nucleotides in length. Their secondary structure includes four short double-helical elements and three loops (D, anti-codon, and T loops).
Source: RNAcentral